GUUAUCGCAAGAGAAGCGCCUGAUCGAAGCCCCAGUAAACGGCGGCCGUAACUAUAACGGUCCUAAGGUAGCGAAAUUCCUUGUCGGGUAAGUUCCGACCUGCACGAAUGGCAUAAUGAUGGCCAGGCUGUCUCCACCCGAGACUCAGUGAAAUUGAAAUCGCCGUGAAGAUGCGGUGUACCCGCGGCUAGACGGAAAGACCCCGUGAACCUUUACUAUAGCUUGACACUGAACCUUGAAUUUUGAUGUGUAGGAUAGGUGGGAGGCUUUGAAGCGGUAACGCCAGUUAUCGUGGAGCCAUCCUUGAAAUACCACCCUUUAACGUUUGAUGUUCUAACGAAGUGCCCGGAACGGGUACUCGGACAGUGUCUGGUGGGUAGUUUGACUGGGGCGGUCUCCUCCCAAAGAGUAACGGAGGAGCACGAAGGUUUGCUAAUGACGGUCGGACAUCGUCAGGUUAGUGCAAUGGUAUAAGCAAGCUUAACUGCGAGACGGACAAGUCGAGCAGGUGCGAAAGCAGGUCAUAGUGAUCCGGUGGUUCUGAAUGGAAGGGCCAUCGCUCAACGGAUAAAAGGUACUCCGGGGAUAACAGGCUGAUACCGCCCAAGAGUUCAUAUCGACGGCGGUGUUUGGCACCUCGAUGUCGGCUCAUCACAUCCUGGGGCUGAAGUAGGUCCCAAGGGUAUGGCUGUUCGCCAUUUAAAGUGGUACGCGAGCUGGGUUUAAAACGUCGUGAGACAGUUUGGUCCCUAUCUGCCGUGGGCGUUGGAGAAUUGAGAGGGGCUGCUCCUAGUACGAGAGGACCGGAGUGGACGCAUCACUGGUGUUCCGGUUGUGUCGCCAGACGCAUUGCCGGGUAGCUACAUGCGGAAGAGAUAAGUGCUGAAAGCAUCUAAGCACGAAACUUGCCUCGAGAUGAGUUCUCCCAGUAUUUAAUACUGUAAGGGUUGUUGGAGACGACGACGUAGAUAGGCCGGGUGUGUAAGCGUUGCGAGACGUUGAGCUAACCGGUACUAAUUGCCCGAGAGGCUUAGCCA
This 1037-nucleotide ribosomal RNA is filed under the name Basfia succiniciproducens. RNAcentral describes it as "bacterial LSU rRNA". It matches the Rfam family "Bacterial large subunit ribosomal RNA", at positions 1889 to 2925 of the family's 2925-position model. The record is from RNAcentral. Lineage: Bacteria; Pseudomonadati; Pseudomonadota; Gammaproteobacteria; Pasteurellales; Pasteurellaceae.